Molecule: ribosomal RNA, 396 nt
Filed under: uncultured bacterium
Lineage: Bacteria
Description: bacterial SSU rRNA
Rfam family: Bacterial small subunit ribosomal RNA
Source: RNAcentral
GACGAACGCUGGCGGCGUGCUUAACACAUGCAAGUCGAGCGAGAAAGCUCCUUCGGGAGUGAGUACAGCGGCGAACGGGUGAGUAACACGUGGGCAACCUGCCCUGGAGAGCGGGACAACCCGGGGAAACCCGAGCUAAUACCGCAUGAAUCGUCAUGGCUCAAGCUGUGACGGGAAAAGGUAGCUUCGGCCUCCGCUCCAGGAUGGGCCCGCGGCCGAUUAGCUUGUUGGUGGGGUAACGGCUCACCAAGGCGACGAUCGGUAGCUGGUCUGAGAGGACGAUCAGCCACACUGGGACUGAGACACGGCCCAGACUCCUACGGGAGGCAGCAGUGGGGAAUCUUGCGCAAUGGGCGAAAGCCUGACGCAGCAACGCCGCGUGAGGGAUGACGGCCU